This 500-nucleotide ribosomal RNA is filed under the name Lactobacillus gasseri. RNAcentral describes it as "bacterial SSU rRNA". It matches the Rfam family "Bacterial small subunit ribosomal RNA", at positions 32 to 492 of the family's 1533-position model. Lineage: Bacteria; Bacillati; Bacillota; Bacilli; Lactobacillales; Lactobacillaceae. The record is from RNAcentral.
AACGCUGGCGGCGUGCCUAAUACAUGCAAGUCGAGCGAGCUUGCCUAGAUGAAUUUGGUGCUUGCACCAAAUGAAACUAGAUACAAGCGAGCGGCGGACGGGUGAGUAACACGUGGGUAACCUGCCCAAGAGACUGGGAUAACACCUGGAAACAGAUGCUAAUACCGGAUAACAACACUAGACGCAUGUCUAGAGUUUAAAAGAUGGUUCUGCUAUCACUCUUGGAUGGACCUGCGGUGCAUUAGCUAGUUGGUAAGGUAACGGCUUACCAAGGCAAUGAUGCAUAGCCGAGUUGAGAGACUGAUCGGCCACAUUGGGACUGAGACACGGCCCAAACUCCUACGGGAGGCAGCAGUAGGGAAUCUUCCACAAUGGACGCAAGUCUGAUGGAGCAACGCCGCGUGAGUGAAGAAGGGUUUCGGCUCGUAAAGCUCUGUUGGUAGUGAAGAAAGAUAGAGGUAGUAACUGGCCUUUAUUUGACGGUAAUUACUUAGAAAGUC